Molecule: transfer RNA, 75 nt
Filed under: Erysipelotrichaceae bacterium
Lineage: Bacteria; Bacillati; Bacillota; Erysipelotrichia; Erysipelotrichales; Erysipelotrichaceae
Description: tRNA-Thr
Rfam family: tRNA
About the family: Transfer RNA (tRNA) molecules are approximately 80 nucleotides in length. Their secondary structure includes four short double-helical elements and three loops (D, anti-codon, and T loops).
Source: RNAcentral
GCCGAUAUAGCACAGGGGUAGUGCAACGCCUUCGUAACGCGUAGGUCGGGGGUUCAAAUCCCUCUAUCGGCACCA